Molecule: long non-coding RNA, 259 nt
Organism: Sinocyclocheilus anshuiensis
Lineage: Eukaryota; Metazoa; Chordata; Actinopteri; Cypriniformes; Cyprinidae
Exons: 3
Source: RefSeq, a predicted model, not a curated record
UGCGUCUCGCUAAAGAGAACAAGGAACUGCAGAGUCGUGUGGACCAGAGUAAAGUGACUUUGGAGGCCCUCGAGAGGCAGUUAGAGGAAGAAAAACAGAAAGUCAAGAAUAAAGAAGCUCUCAGCGGAGUGGCGACAGAAAGUGAGCUGCAGCUGCAGCUGGAAUGCGCGCAGACGGAGGUGGAGUUCCUGCGCAGGCGUCUGCGGCAGACAGAGGAAAGACUUGAGAGUGAGAAAGAGGCCCGUCAGCUGCUGGAUAC